Long non-coding RNA from Symphalangus syndactylus (siamang), 453 nucleotides. RefSeq lists it as uncharacterized. NCBI's taxonomy places the organism in Eukaryota, Metazoa, Chordata, Mammalia, Primates, Hylobatidae. The record is from RefSeq and is a predicted model, not a curated record.
UCUCCCGUUUAUUCUCAUUCAUCUGCAAAUCGGCUGUUCCUAGCCAUCGCGCUCCCUCACAGGGUUUUACUGCCAGAUCAGUAUCAGCAUCGAGAACCAGGAGGCCACAUUCACCUGAGGCUGCUUGGCCCACCACCAGUUCCCAUCCUUUGGAGACCAAAAAGCAGUUCAUAAAAGCUGGCUGGACACUAAGGAUAUUCCUGGUACAUUUUCCCUUAAGGAAUAAAGCAAUGUCAAGAUAUUCUCAGAUGAAAGAAAAUAAGAAAACAUCACCUGAAGACCCACUCUACAAGAAAUGCAAAAUGAAGUUCUUCAUGCUGCAGAAAAAUGACACUUGAGAGAAACUUGGCUUUUGAGUAAUAAAGGGAAGUCAAUGAUAAAUAGCUAGGAUAAUAUUUUUUUUCCUCUGAACUUCUCUCAAAUACUUAUGACUAUUAAAAGCAAAAAUUAUAA